Molecule: ribosomal RNA, 475 nt
Filed under: Poeonoma serrata
Lineage: Eukaryota; Metazoa; Arthropoda; Insecta; Lepidoptera; Noctuidae
Description: partial 16S large subunit ribosomal RNA
Source: RNAcentral
UGUCUUUUUGAGAAUAAUAUAAGGUCUAAUCUGCCCACUGAUUUAAAUUGAAGGGCUGCAGUAUAUUGACUGUACAAAGGUAGCAUAAUCAUUAGUCAUUUAAUUGAUGACUUGUAUGAAGGAUUGGAUGAAAUAUAAACUGUCUCUUUAUUAAUAAUAGAAUUUAAUUUUUUAAUUAAAAAGUUAAAAUAUUUUAAAAAGACGAGAAGACCCUAUAGAGUUUUAUAAAUAAAAUAAUUAAGAUUAUUUAAUUUAAUAAAAUUAAGAUUAUAUUAUUUAUUUUGUUGGGGUGACAGAAAAAUAUAUUUAACUUUUUUUUUAUUUAAAACAUUUAUAAGUGGUUAAAUGAUCCAAUAUUAUUGAUUAUAAGAAAAAAUUACCUUAGGGAUAACAGCGUAAUUUUUUUUUUUAGUCCAAAUAAGAAAAAGAGUUUGCGACCUCGAUGUUGGAUUAAGAUAAAAUUUAAAUGCAGAAG